GCUAACAGUCGCCAGAUAGCGCGCACCGUUGAAACAGAUGGUAAAUGCAGCAAACAGCUGUUUGACGGUCAACAACACAAAGGUAGAAAUGCUCAAUACAGAAAAAAUCGAAGCAGUCGUAGUUGAAAACAGAAAUUUGAUUGGAGCAAUUUGUUUGGUCGUUGGAACGUAGACGAUGGAACGAUGAGCUGUACGAUUUAUACGACGACACUGACAUAGUGCAGCGAAUAAAAAGACAGCGGCUACGCUGGCUAGGUCAUGUUGUCCGAAUGGGCGAAAACACUCCAGCUCUGAAAGUGUUCGAUGGAGGAAGCCGCGGAAGAGGUCAACCUCCACUCCGGUGGAAAGACCAAGUGCAAAGUGACCUGGCUUCACUUGGUGUUUCCAGCGCCAAAUAGCAAAAAGGAGGAUCGAGUGGCGCGCUCUGAUGGAUUCGGCUAUAAUCACUUAAAGCGGUUUCUACGCCAAAUAUAUAUAUAUAUAUAUACAUAUAUAAUUUGUUUGGUCAGGAGAAAUGAAUAAUUACCGUCGAUUCUGUACAGAGUCCAUUAGUAUUUUUGGUGUUAUGAGUAACAUGAAUAAAAAUGGGCAAUGUUCUGAGUAUACUGAAAAUUUAUGAAUAGAGCCUUACAACAAUGAAACGCCUCUGCUGUGAAGAAUAGACUUCUUCUUAAGGAUUGUUCUAUGAUACUCGAGUCAAAGAGCAUAAGCACGUAUGAAGGAUUUGUGGCAGGACACUAACCAUCUAUUUUCGUAUACUUAUGUACAUACACAUAUCUUCUUUCAUUAUGAUUCGACGCUGG
This is a long non-coding RNA of Zeugodacus cucurbitae (melon fly), 803 nucleotides long. RefSeq lists it as uncharacterized. Lineage: Eukaryota; Metazoa; Arthropoda; Insecta; Diptera; Tephritidae. The record is from RefSeq and is a predicted model, not a curated record. The transcript is spliced from 2 exons.